RNAcentral lists this ribosomal RNA (404 nucleotides) under uncultured bacterium. Its description in RNAcentral is "bacterial SSU rRNA". It matches the Rfam family "Bacterial small subunit ribosomal RNA", at positions 355 to 776 of the family's 1533-position model. The record is from RNAcentral.
UAGGGAAUAUUGGACAAUGGGGGAAACCCUGAUCCAGCUACGCCGCGUGAGUGAUGAAGGCCUUCGGGUUGUAAAGCUCUGUCGUAAGGGAAGAUAAUGACGGUACCUUACAAGAAAGCACCGGCUAACUCCGUGCCAGCAGCCGCGGUAAUACGGAGGGUGCAAGCGUUGCUCGGAAUCACUGGGCGUAAAGAGAGCGUAGGCGGACAAUUAAGUCAGGUGUGAAAGCCCGGAGCUCAACUCCGGAAUUGCAUCUGAAACUGGUUGUCUAGAGUACAGGAGAGGAGAGUGGAAUUCCUGGUGUAGAGGUGAAAUUCGCUGAUAUCAGGAGGAACACCCGUGGCGAAGGCGGCUCUCUGGUCUGAUACUGACGCUGAGGCUCGAAAGUGUGGGUAGCAAACAGG